RNAcentral lists this ribosomal RNA (384 nucleotides) under uncultured bacterium. RNAcentral describes it as "bacterial SSU rRNA". It matches the Rfam family "Bacterial small subunit ribosomal RNA", at positions 30 to 426 of the family's 1533-position model. The record is from RNAcentral.
AUUGAACGCUGGCGGCAGGCCUAACACAUGCAAGUCGAGCGGGGUUUUCGGACCUAGCGGCGGACGGGUGAGUAAUGCGUAGGAAGCUACCCGAUAGAGGGGGAUACCAGUUGGAAACGACUGUUAAUACCGCAUAAUGUCUACGGACCAAAGUGUGGGACCUUCGGGCCACAUGCUAUCGGAUGCGCCUACGUGGGAUUAGCUAGUUGGUGAGGUAAUGGCUCACCAAGGCGACGAUCUCUAGCUGGUUUGAGAGGAUGAUCAGCCACACUGGAACUGAGACACGGUCCAGACUCCUACGGGAGGCAGCAGUGGGGAAUAUUAGGGACAAAUGGGCGCAAGCCUGAUCCAGCCAUGCGCGUGUGUGAAGAAGGCCUCGGUUGG